Triticum urartu is the source of this 126-nucleotide non-coding RNA. Lineage: Eukaryota; Viridiplantae; Streptophyta; Magnoliopsida; Poales; Poaceae. The record is from Rfam.
AAGAUAGCACCCCCCGUCCUGAAAUACUUGUCAGAGAAAUGGAUAAAAAUUGAUGUAUCUAGAACUAAAAUACAUCUAGAUACAUCCAUUUCUCCGACAAGUAUUUCUGGACGGAGGGAGUAUAUU